RNAcentral lists this ribosomal RNA (492 nucleotides) under uncultured bacterium. RNAcentral's name for it is "partial 16S ribosomal RNA". It matches the Rfam family "Bacterial small subunit ribosomal RNA", at positions 29 to 507 of the family's 1533-position model. The record is from RNAcentral.
AGUGAACGCUGGCGGUAGGCCUAACACAUGCAAGUCGAACGGCAGCACAGUAAGAGCUUGCUCUUACGGGUGGCGAGUGGCGGACGGGUGAGGAAUACAUCGGAAUCUACUUUUUCGUGGGGGAUAACGUAGGGAAACUUACGCUAAUACCGCAUACGACCUACGGGUGAAAGCAAGGGAUCUUCGGACCUUGCGCGAUUGAAUGAGCCGAUGUCGGAUUAGCUAGUUGGCGGGGUAAAGGCCCACCAAGGCGACGACCCGUAGCUGGUCUGAGAGGAUGAUCAGCCACACUGGAACUGAGACACGGUCCAGACUCCUACGGGAGGCAGCAGUGGGGAAUAUUGGACAAUGGGCGCAAGCCUGAUCCAGCCAUACCGCGUGGGUGAAGAAGGCCUUCGGGUUGUAAAGCCCUUUUGUUGGGAAAGAAAAGCAGCAGGUUAAUACCCCGCUGUUCUGACGGUACCCAAAGAAUAAGCACCGGCUAACUUCGUG